ACUUGUAUACCUCUACCACUAAAGUAUGACCCAGUCAGUUUCAAAUAAGUGGUCGGGGGUUCAGAAUUCAAAAAAAUUGUCUAUUUUCAUUAACGUGUUUACACUUAGAUUAUACACUGUAUGUAUUUUAACUCCAUAUUUUAAAUAUCAAUUACUUUUUUAUUUCUUGUUUGACUCCUAUUUCUGUUUCUUGUGUUUCAGCUCAUAGAUCAACUAAAACCUGGAGGACGAUUGAUAUUACCAGUUGGACCAGCUGGCGGAAACCAAAUGUUGGAACAAUAUGAUAAGCUAGAAGAUGGAAGUGCCAAAAUGAAACCUCUGAUGGGGGUGAUAUACGUGCCUUUAACAGAUAAAGAAAAGCAGUGGUCCAGGGAUGAAUUGUAAAAAUUCCACCACUCCGAUCCAAAAAUAGUAUUAAAAUGGGAUGCUGUACUGUACUCCCAGAAGCUUAUUUUAUUAAUAUUAUUUUUAAUCAACGGCAAUGCAGCUUGUUUUGGAUUUGUUACGCUGUUGAAAGCGGCAUGGAAAUGUGGUUUUCUUUGGCUUUUCUAAAACUGCGAAUAAGUUGCAAGUGACAUCUGAAGAACUUACAUUAAAGCAGAUUAAUUUAUUAAUUUGUUAUUGAAGCAGGAAUGUUCAAUCAUUUUGAUGCAAGACAACUCAAACUGUGUAAUAUCUGAUUUUUGAAAUGAAUGACAUUUUGUUUUAAUCUUUGGCUACCUUUUCAACUUCAGCAAUCAGCCUCGUUGUUAACGUAACAAGUGGGUCACCAAAUGGCACUACAGUACUCGCACAACUUUGUUUCUGCUAAACGCUGCUAAACAUCUAGAAAAUAAGCUUCCUUCUCAGAGCUUGUUUUUGACGUGGUGUUGUAGAAAAGCAUGUUGUGGCUCGUCAAAAGCCUUCCUUUAUUGCUAGGCAAAGUGUAUGUUUGCAUUUACAGUUCUGCCAGGCUUUAAGCACAUUGCCCAGCAAAUGUCACGAGUGAAAGCUCUAGACGCCCAAAAUUAUGCUGCUCAGAUUGAACAUUUUAAGACAUUUUCAUUUAUAGUGGCAACCUACGCUAUGUCCAUAUUCCUUCCUUUUGAUGCAGUUUGAAGUUCAUUUUGUGUUUAAACCUUUAGUAUGUACUGUGUAAGCUAUGUUCUUGUCACUGAACAGUUUAUGCAGUUUUGCUUUGCCAAAUAAAUUACAAAGCAGAAACCA
Bombina bombina (fire-bellied toad) is the source of this 1206-nucleotide long non-coding RNA. RefSeq lists it as uncharacterized. The transcript is spliced from 2 exons. NCBI's taxonomy places the organism in Eukaryota, Metazoa, Chordata, Amphibia, Anura, Bombinatoridae. The record is from RefSeq and is a predicted model, not a curated record.